CAGUGGUGGCCAGUUUACUCACGGUGUGGAUUUAUUUAUUUAUUAACCAACAAAUUGCCCAUUUUGAGGGAAAGUACACGAUUUAUGUAAAAUGUACCUAUGACAACUAACUUGUUGAGUAGGCUACACAAGUAGUGAAAAUACUAUGGAAGCAACAAGAGUAUCAAGAUUCAAGAACAAGACAUAACCUCAAAUCAGUUAACUUAAGUGUGCUGAUAUUUUGUUUAGUGUGUGUCACUGUUAGUUUAGAGUUGUUAUUUUUGUGACUGGGUAUUGGCAUAACCUACACCGAACAUCUUUUCACGUUUUGAUCCUUGGAGUAUUUGAUAACUCUGCAGCUUUGGUGGAAGUUAUUAUUUGGUAGCAGUGAAUAAUUUGCCUACGGUACCAAUUCUCCCGAGUGACAAAGUGGCUGUUUAGCAGCCUGUAGGCUGGGAAGGAGGAAUAAAUUUUUUCUUUUGCAAUCUGCAUCUGAAGCCAGCUAUCUUGCAGGCAGAACCGGUACGCAAGAACACUAGGAUCGUGGUGUAAUGGAAAUAUAUGUUGUUGCUACUAUAAUCAAGAAUUGGCUUCGCCCAGC
Macrosteles quadrilineatus (aster leafhopper) is the source of this 580-nucleotide long non-coding RNA. RefSeq lists it as uncharacterized. NCBI's taxonomy places the organism in Eukaryota, Metazoa, Arthropoda, Insecta, Hemiptera, Cicadellidae. The transcript is spliced from 3 exons. The record is from RefSeq and is a predicted model, not a curated record.